UCUGGAGUGGAUGGAUACUGCAAAGUUAGAAACAGGGAGAGGAGAACUGGGGCCAGAGGUGGAGGGAGUGAGAAGAUGCAUCAGAGACUGUUAGAGCAGAACAGGCAGAGCUGUGUGGGUGAGUACAUUGAUGGCAUGCUGAUCACAUUUCCAGGCUGCCAUGGGGCUGUGAGUAGCGCUAAUAGAAUGGAUGAAAGAAUAAUGAGCCAAAGCAAUGUUGACAGCCUGGAAUGCCAGCUCAAAUCAAGCAACCUGGGCCAUAACACAGACCAACGCAAAGUCUAGCAUUUGGAUCCAAGCGACAAGUUACACGAGGACAGCAGAGGUGCUGGGAUCCCUGGAGGAAAUGCAGCCAAGCCUCUGCCACUCCUGCAAGGACUGAGGAGCUCUCUGCAUUUGAAAAAGCAGCUUCACCGUGGAUCCUGUUAAGAACAAGGUUAUUCAGCUUCUCAGGAGGACGAGGAGAAAUUGGAGAGCCUCCCGGGAAGGUCCUGGAGAGUGAUUAAGAGGAUGAGAGUAAGACUGGUGAGAAGACUCAGAGGAAUUAGAGUAAUUCAAUCUAGAGAAAUAAAUU
Long non-coding RNA from Talpa occidentalis (Iberian mole), 574 nucleotides. RefSeq lists it as uncharacterized. NCBI's taxonomy places the organism in Eukaryota, Metazoa, Chordata, Mammalia, Eulipotyphla, Talpidae. The transcript has 5 exons. The record is from RefSeq and is a predicted model, not a curated record.